Molecule: long non-coding RNA, 1222 nt
Filed under: Triticum aestivum (bread wheat)
Lineage: Eukaryota; Viridiplantae; Streptophyta; Magnoliopsida; Poales; Poaceae
Description: long non-coding RNA (TAES_LNC023123)
Source: RNAcentral
CCUCUUCUUGAUGAUGAUCUCAGGCAUCUUCUGCAAGGACUUCUUACUGGAGUAUAUGGUGCUAGGUUUAAUGAGGAAUUUAUUGCUUUGGCCUGAAGCCUAAUGAGGAAUUUAUUGCUGAGGACCCGGCGCUUAAUGAUGAAUUUAUUGCAGAGGGCUAGGGCUAGGGUUAUUGUCUCCGCUUCAUCCAACUAUAUAUUCGUAUGAGCUUUGUCAGCUUUGGUUUUGAUUACUUGCAAGUAGUCAGAUAUGCACCAUGUCCUAUGGUCAGUGUAUGAAUUGUAAACCUCAAUUAUCUCAACCUUAUCCAACUAUUCAUGUGAGCUUUUUCAGCUUUGUUUUGAUUACUUGCAAGUAGUGAGAUAUGCACCAUGUCCUAUGGUCAGUGUAUGAAUUUUUAACUUUAAUUAUCUCAGCCUUAUCCAACUAUUCAUGUGUGCUUUGUUAUCUUUCUUACUUAUGAUUGCUUGCAAGUAGUCAAAUAUGCACCAUGUCCUAUGGUCAGUGUAUGAAUUGUAAACCUUAAUUAUCUCAACCUUAUCCAACUAUUCAUGUGAGCUUUUUCAGCUUUGUUUUGAUUACUUGCAACUAGUCAGAUAUGCACCAUGUCCUAUGGUCAGUGUAUGAAUUUUUAACCUUAAUUAUCUCAGCCUUAUCCAACUAUUCAUGUGUGCUUUGUUAGCUUUCUUACUUAUGAUUGCUUGCAAGUAGUCAAAUAUGCACCAUGUCCUAUGGUCAGUGUAUGAAUUGUAAACCUUAAUUAUCUCAACCUUAUCCAACUAUUCAUGUGAGCUUUCUCAGCUUUGUUUUGAUUACUUGUAAGUAGUCAAAUAUGCACUAUGUCUUAUGGUAAUUGUAUGAACUGUAAACCUUAAUUAUCUCAACUUUAAAGAACUAUUUGUGUUCUUUGACUAUGUCUAUGGUCCGUUUAUGAAUUGUAAACCCCAAAUAAGAAAACCUAAAAAUUAAAAUUAAAAUUCAAACAAAAUUGGCAGCUUUAGGGGAGUGGCAAGUGAAUAGAGAUUAUAGAGUCAAUAAGAAUACAGAACUGAUACACAAACGAUGGGCUGUGUGCUAUUUCUGGAUGACAAGACAUACAAGCCAUCGGUCACCUCAGUUCACGUGGUCUGCAGCCAAUUGGUCACAAGGUUGUCUGCAGAUCAUAUUGCACAUUGUCGUAUGCAGAGUAAUCUCGCAAUAAGAAUAGCUUGGAAUUGGACAC